RNAcentral lists this ribosomal RNA (468 nucleotides) under uncultured bacterium. RNAcentral describes it as "partial 16S ribosomal RNA". It matches the Rfam family "Bacterial small subunit ribosomal RNA", at positions 28 to 507 of the family's 1533-position model. The record is from RNAcentral.
GACGAACGCUGGCGGCGUGCUUAACACAUGCAAGUCGAACGGAAGGGCCCUGCUUUUGUGGGGUGCUCGAGUGGCGAACGGGUGAGUAACACGUGAGUAACCUGCCCUUGACUUUGGGAUAACUUCAGGAAACUGGGGCUAAUACCGGAUAGGAGCUCCUGCUGCAUGGUGGGGGUUGGAAAGUUUCGGCGGUUGGGGGUGGACUCGCGGCUUAUCAGCUUGUUGGUGGGGUAGUGGCUUACCAAGGCUUUGACGGGUAGCCGGCCUGAGAGGGUGACCGGCCACAUUGGGACUGAGAUACGGCCCAGACUCCUACGGGAGGCAGCAGUGGGGAAUAUUGCACAAUGGGCGGAAGCCUGAUGCAGCAACGCCGCGUGCGGGAUGACGGCCUUCGGGUUGUAAACCGCUUUCGCCUGUGACGAAGCGUGAGUGACGGUAAUGGGUAAAGAAGCACCGGCUAACUACGUG